RNAcentral lists this ribosomal RNA (252 nucleotides) under uncultured bacterium. Its description in RNAcentral is "partial 16S ribosomal RNA". It matches the Rfam family "Bacterial small subunit ribosomal RNA", at positions 524 to 776 of the family's 1533-position model. The record is from RNAcentral.
UACGUAAGGUCCGAGCGUUGUCCGGAAUCAUUGGGCGUAAAGGGCACGUAGGCGGAGAAGCAAGUUAGAAGUGAAAUCCUAUAGCUCAACUAUAGUAAGCUUUUAAAACUGGUCAUCUUGAGGUAUGGAAGGGAAAGUGGAAUUCCUAGUGUAGCGGUGAAAUGCGUAGAGAUUAGGAGGAAUACCGGUGGCGAAGGCGACUUUCUGGACAUAAACUGACGCUGAGGUGCGAAAGCGUGGGGAGCAAACAGG